UUUGCCACUAUAAAAAUCUCUCCAAAAAAAUCUCAUAAAAAUUGUAAAAUUUAAAAAAACAGGUGUACAUAUUUUUUAUAUAAAACAAAAAUUAUUUCAAUUAUUACAAUGUUUUGAUUUUAAUCAUUCAUUUAAAACAAAUAGGCAAUUAGUUCUGUAGUGUAUUUAAAUGGGAAAUCUCAAGUUUCAUUCUUGAAAAAAAAAAAACUUAACAACAUUCAACAUUUCUGGACAUUAAAACAUGUUUGAUUACAUUUCAAGUUUAUACAUUAGAAUCAAAGUUGACAAUUAAAGCUACAAAAUUAGAACUGAAAAAAAUUAAACAGCUGGAAUUUCUUAAUUGUUAUUCAUUCUAUAUAGUAGAGAUCCAAAAUAAACCAAAAGUGAUAUUGAGACUUGUGGUUAUAGAAGUUCUCUGUGUAAAGACUCGGAUACAGGCCACAAAAUGGUUUACAACUUUAAGUACAUUCGAUCAGUAAUACUAUAAGGAUCUUUACAUUUCAUCAAAGCUCUAUUCAGACCCAAAACAGUAUAACCAGCCCAACAAUGUCCAGUGCGAUUCUGGGUUUUAAUUUGUUCUUUAGUUCUUGAUCAUUUCCCCGAAAGUUGUUUUCAAUAUAGAAUGAGAAAACGAUUGUUGUUUUCUUGGGGGGGGGGGGGG
Biomphalaria pfeifferi is the source of this 661-nucleotide non-coding RNA. Lineage: Eukaryota; Metazoa; Mollusca; Gastropoda; Planorbidae. The record is from the annotation of a GenBank genome assembly.